GGGACACCGAGUGCCAGCAUCAUAUGUUGGCUGUCCUGAUGUGUAAAAUACAUCUGUUAGCAAGGGCCGGGCAAGACCGGUGCCAGCCGCCGCGGUAACACCGGCGGCCCGAGUGGUGAUCGUGAUUAUUGGGUCUAAAGGGUCCGUAGCCGGUUUGGUCAGUCCUCCGGGAAAUCUGACGGCUCAACCGUUAGGCUUUCGGUGGAUACUGCCAGACUUGGAACCGGGAGAGGUAAGAGGUACUACAGGGAUAGGAGUGAAAUCUUGUAAUCCCUGUGAGACCACCUGUGGCGAAGGCGUCUUACCAGAACGGGUUCGACGGUGAGGGACGAAAGCUGGGGGCACGAACCGGAUUAGAUACCCGGGUAGUCCCAGCCGUAAACGAUGCUCGCUAGGUGUCAGGCAUGGCGCGACCGUGUCUGGUGCCGCAGGGAAGCCGUGAAGCGAGCCACCUGGGAAGUACGGCCGCAAGGCUGAAACUUAAAGGAAUUGGCGGGGGAGCACAACAACGGGUGGAGCCUGCGGUUUAAUUGGACUCAACGCCGGACAACUCACCGGGGACGACAGCAAUAUGUAGGCCAGGCUAAAGACCUUGCCUGAAUCGCUGAGAGGAGGUGCAUGGCCGUCGCCAGUUCGUACUGUGAAGCAUCCUGUUAAGUCAGGCAACGAGCGAGACCCGUGCCCACUGUUACCAGCAUGUCCUCCGGGACGAUGGGUACUCUGUGGGGACCGCCGAUGUUAAAUCGGAGGAAGGUGCGGGCUACGGUAGGUCAGUAUGCCCCGAAUUUCCCGGGCUACACGCGGGCUACAAUGAAUGGGACAAUGGGUCCCUACCCCGAGAGGGGUUGGUAAUCUCCCAAACCCAUCCGUAGUUCGGAUCGAGGGCUGUAACUCGCCCUCGUGAAGCUGGAAUCCGUAGUAAUCGCGUUUCAAUAUAGCGCGGUGAAUACGUCCCUGCUCCUUGCACACACCGC
This 974-nucleotide ribosomal RNA is filed under the name uncultured Methanosarcina sp. RNAcentral describes it as "bacterial SSU rRNA". It matches the Rfam family "Archaeal small subunit ribosomal RNA", at positions 375 to 1349 of the family's 1478-position model. Lineage: Archaea; Methanobacteriati; Methanobacteriota; Methanomicrobia; Methanosarcinales; Methanosarcinaceae. The record is from RNAcentral.